Molecule: ribosomal RNA, 829 nt
Filed under: Nephroma bellum
Lineage: Eukaryota; Fungi; Ascomycota; Lecanoromycetes; Peltigerales; Nephromataceae
Description: LSU rRNA
Rfam family: Eukaryotic large subunit ribosomal RNA
Source: RNAcentral
AACAGCUCAAAUUUGAAAUCUGAUCCCUUCGGGGUCCGAGUUGUAAUUUGUAGAGGGUGCUUCGGGCUUGGCCUAGGUCUAAGUUCCUUGGAACAGGGCGUCAUAGAGGGUGAGAAUCCCGUAUGAGACCGGCGAUCCAGCCCAUGUGAAGCCCCUUCGACGAGUCGAGUUGUUUGGGAAUGCAGCUCAAAAUGGGUGGUAAAUUUCAUCUAAAGCUAAAUACGGGCCAGAGACCGAUAGCGAACAAGUAGAGUGAUCGAAAGAUGAAAAGCACUUUGGAAAGAGAGUUAAACAGUACGUGAAAUUGUUGAAAGGGAAGCGCUUGCAAUCAGACCUGCCCGUGGGUGAUCUGUCGGGGCUCGUUCCCGGCAACCUUCACCCAUGAUCAGGCCAGCAUCGGUUUGGGCGGUGAGAUAAAAGCCCCUGGAAUGUAGCUUCUCUCGGGGAGUCUUAUAGCCUGAGGCGUCAUGUUGCCAGCCUGGACCGAGGACCGCGCUUCGGCUAGGAUGCUGGCGUAAUGAUUCUAAGCGACCCGUCUUGAAACACGGACCAAGGAGUCUAACAUUUAUGCGAGUGUUUGGGUGUUAAACCCGGCCGCGGAAUGAAAGUGAACGGAGGUGGGAGCCCGUCAAACGGCGCACCAUCGACCGAUCCAGAUGUUUUCGGAUGGAUUUGAGUACGAGCAUAGCUGUUGGGACCCGAAAGAUGGUGAACUUUGCUUGUAUAGGGUGAAGCCAGAGGAAACUCUGGUGGAGGCUCGCAGCGGUUCUGACGUGCAAAUCGAUCGUCGAAUAUGAGCACAGGGGCGAAAGACCAAUCGACUAUCUAG